RNAcentral lists this ribosomal RNA (276 nucleotides) under uncultured bacterium. RNAcentral's name for it is "partial 16S ribosomal RNA". The record is from RNAcentral.
CUGCUGCCUUCCGUAGGAGUCUGGUCCGUGUCUCAGUACCAGUGUGGGGGACCUUCCUCUCAGAACCCCUACGCAUCGUCGCCUUGGUGGGCCGUUACCCCGCCAACUAGCUAAUGCGACGCAUGACCAUCCGUAGCCGGAAUCGCUUCCUUUAAACCCGAGGAGAUGCCUCCUCGGGUUGUUACGCGGUAUUAGACGGAAUUUCUUCCGCUUAUCCCCCUGCUACGGGCAGGUUUCAUACGUGUUACUCACCCGCGCGCCGGUCGCCGGCGGGAG